UUCACAAUGUAAGUCAUUCUAGCAUUUCCCACAUUCAUAUAAUUGUUAAAUGAAUCUAGACAUAUAACUAUAUGAAUGUGGGAAAUGCUAGAAUGACUUACAUUGUGAAA
RNAcentral lists this unclassified non-coding RNA (110 nucleotides) under Oryza sativa (Asian cultivated rice). RNAcentral describes it as "partial microRNA MIR472a-39-as precursor". The record is from RNAcentral. Lineage: Eukaryota; Viridiplantae; Streptophyta; Magnoliopsida; Poales; Poaceae.